UCCGCCCCGGGGGGCUCCGCUCACCGCCCUCGGGGGAGGGCGGAGAUGCCGGUGUCCGAGAGGAUGGGGAUGCCUAGGCCGUUUUGGGGCGGGGAGUGUGUCCGCCAGGUCUGGGACUGAGGUGCGGUCUUCUUAAACGCGCCCCCCCUCCCGCCGCCGUGGGCCCCAAACUUCGUCCUUCUCCCCGGCCUUGUACCCUCGGGCGACCACGGCAGUUUUGGGGUGGGGGAUGCCUCAGGAGCUGUGUCUACCCUGAUCAGGAGGAAGAGGGAGCAGUGACAUUCAGCGACUGCGGACAGGCAUCCUCGGGUGGGAGUGGGGAUGUCAGAUGCAGGCUUGGAGAGGGAAGCUGCCCCUCAGGAUGCCCUCUCCCGGCCUGCGGGAGGCUGGCGAGCUCGGAGCUGCGAUCUGGGUGCUUCCUAGACUGUGCAGCUGGAUGGCAAAGGGGCAGGGGGUUGGGCUGGGGGCGACCGCUGGGGGGCCCUUUCCUCGUCUCCAACCAGCGCUGUAAAGAAAGCUGAUGGCGAAGUUCGGUUUUCCAGGCUUCCCCUGGGCCCCCGGAGUUCCUGAGGCCCAUACGAGGGAGGCCGGGGGAUCCUCUGGCCGCCUAGGCAAGGCUACUCGAAAGCUGCCCACAUGCCUUGCAGCGCCCUCCGGACUCUGGAGAAAACGUCCCUACUCUCCCCAGAGUUAGGUGGGAUGCUGGUAAGAGAUACUUGAGAGUAUGAGAAAGGUGGACUUGAGAAAAGGCUCCUCCUACAGAGUUCGAACGUUUCCCUUUCCCAGACCACUGUCAAGAAGGGAAACAAAACUAUGUCCCGGGGAAAGCCAAGUUUCCCCGUGUGGUGGCCGGGGUGGUAAAACCACCUGUUGCCUCAAGUUCUGUCCUUGAAUCAGGAUGUUCUUGGGGCCCCUGAUGAGGAGAUGUAGGAUGUCAAGGAGUAGGAAUUUCAGUCUCCCUGCCCUGAAUGACUCACAUUUUUAUGCCACUGACACUAUUGCAGCGGUGUUCGACUCCCCAUUAAAAACUACUGUUCAACUAUGUAGGUACUUUGUUAGAACCAACAACCUCGGUUCCUAUCUCAGACACAGCAGCAGCAUCCCUGCGCAUGCAGACAAAAAUACACAAAGGCUACUAUGGUAUGCAAGCUCCCCUGCUUCUGUGUUUGGCAGCAAGGUGAAGAAGAAGCCAAGACAAAGGGCAGAGCAUGGACUUCACUGCAUCUCUCUCUGGUUGACCUCCAAUUCCAAAAUCUGCCUGCUUCAGCCUCCAGGAACUGAGAUAACACCAGCCUGCUCAUCCCUUACUCUAUGGAGGUGCCCUGAAGCAAUUCCUACAUGAUUCUUACACAUGCCACAUUUAGAAUCAUCUGAGGAGUGUUAGCCCAACCUUUGCCCUAAGUCUCUCCUGAAGCUAAGUAAAUCUGGAGAAUGGAGCGUAAAAGGGUGAAGUUCGGUGAAGAAGCUGCUGACCUGAGUGACGAGAUGCUUGGCUGCACGGGUGUCCUGUGGCUGAGGAGGGAAGCUUAGAGCCUGUGUCAUCAACUCUGUGAAAACAUGGGACACUGCCAGACAUAGAUGCACAUUGUCUGAGAAGGCUGGCCUCUAACUCAACGAUUGUGUAGACAACAGAAUAUCCAUAUCUAGAUUAUAUGUGUAAAGAACUUAUAAAAAUCAGUUAUGUUUUGUUUCUUGGUUUGUUUGGCUUUUUUCCGAUUGGUGUUAAUACUAUAGCCCAAAAAAAAAAAAAAAAAAA
RNAcentral lists this small RNA (1756 nucleotides) under Rattus norvegicus (Norway rat). RNAcentral describes it as "uncharacterized LOC102553460". The record is from RNAcentral. Lineage: Eukaryota; Metazoa; Chordata; Mammalia; Rodentia; Muridae.